GGUUCCUAGCGAGUCCCAACCUCCCACCCGUGGUUUUUACUCGUACCUUAGUUGCUUCGGCGGGCCCGCCAUUACAUGGCCGCCGGGGGCUCUCAGCCCCGGGCCCGCGCCCGCCGGAGACACCACGAACUCUGUCUGAUCUAGUGAAGUCUGAGUUGAUUGUAUCGCAAUCAGUUAAAACUUUCAACAAUGGAUCUCUUGGUUCCGGCAUCGAUGAAGAACGCAGCGAAAUGCGAUAACUAGUGUGAAUUGCAGAAUUCCGUGAAUCAUCGAGUCUUUGAACGCACAUUGCGCCCCCUGGUAUUCCGGGGGGCAUGCCUGUCCGAGCGUCAUUGCUGCCCAUCAAGCACGGCUUGUGUGUUGGGUCGUCGUCCCCUCUCCGGGGGGGACGGGCCCCAAAGGCAGCGGCGGCACCGCGUCCGAUCCUCGAGCGUAUGGGGCUUUGUCACCCGCUACUGUGAGGCCCGGCCGGCGCUUGCCGAAACCGCCAAAAAUUCAAAAUCUUUUUCCAGGUUGACCUCGGAUCAGGUAGGGAUACCCGCUGAACUUAAGCAUAUCAAUAAGCGGA
Molecule: ribosomal RNA, 568 nt
Filed under: Aspergillus oryzae
Lineage: Eukaryota; Fungi; Ascomycota; Eurotiomycetes; Eurotiales; Aspergillaceae
Description: eukaryotic LSU rRNA
Rfam family: 5.8S ribosomal RNA (bases 179-332)
Source: RNAcentral